GUGAAGAAACCCUGUCUGACGAGUGUCCGGAGGAAUUACCUGUAAGAAUGUAUGAUACAGGCGUAUGUGUCUUUAUGUGUAUGUAAUUGUCACGCCCGACUCGUCCGAUCCCCGCGUGUAUGCCACGCCCCCCUCGUUACCUCGUGUUACUUCCCGAUUGUGAUCACCUGAUGCCUGUUAUUUCGGCUUGUUUCAUGUAUAUGAGUCCAUGUCUUCCUUAGUUGGGUGUCCGUCAUUGAUGUUCUGUGCUUUGCUCUCUGCCCUGUUUCCCCGAAUAAACCCUCGUGUACUCGUAUGCACGGCUCUAUCGCCUGCUUGACCGCCCGCAGUCGUGACAGAAUGACGGACCCGCAAGAAGACACACUGCAGCGGACCAAGAACCAGCGUCUCGGUCUGCUGCAAGAGGUGGUGUACUGGCUGUCCCAACCCGAGGUCCAGGAGGACCCCAUAGCCUGGGACUUGGCCAGCCGGAGCGGGGACCUCCUGAGUGAGCACCCCCACCCAGAAACGCGUACCCCCUGCAGGAAGUACACAAGAAUCUUAGGCUGCUAAUACAGCGGAUUAUGGACCGGAGAGCCCAGUCAGUCGUGCUGUGCUGCGCUGGGGCUGCUGUACCGCCUCUUCUCCCUACAGAGACAGCUCAGCUUCCUUCCACCGCCACAAGCCGGAGGAAGAAGAAAAAGAGAGAGCAGAGACAGAAGGAGGACCUGACAAUCCUCCUGGGAGCUACCUCUCUCUCCCCAGCUUCUUUCCCUGCCAGUCAUCGGGGGGAGGCUCUGAUCGCCCUGGACAUCACCCCCUUCGCAGGCAGCUUCCCCCUUCCGGGGAACGCGUCUAGCCCUUAAUAGGAGAAAAAAAAGCACACAAAAAAAAACAGUAAAUACUUGACUUACUACACAUGGCUUCAGCCAUCACUUGUGGGACAGAGCGAGCUGAGACACUGGUCGCCUGAACAGGGAAUUCGAGCAAUGCUAAAACGUGUUCGAGAUGUCAGAGGAGUGCAGCCUUGCUACAGAGAUGAUGUUGCUGAAAUAAUGAGGGAGCUGGAUGCAAGUGGUCUUCAGAGAAGAUCUCCUGGUAAGAAGAAAAUCCAGCGUAGGAAUUACAUCAGCCAUGGCCCCAAUGACACCUGGCACAUUGAUGGUA
Non-coding RNA from Paramormyrops kingsleyae, 1146 nucleotides. Lineage: Eukaryota; Metazoa; Chordata; Actinopteri; Osteoglossiformes; Mormyridae. The record is from RefSeq and is a predicted model, not a curated record.